UACGUAGGGUGCAAGCGUUGUCCGGAAUUAUUGGGCGUAAAGAGCUCGUAGGCGGUUUGUCGCGUCGAAUGUGAAAACCCGAAGCUCAACUUCGGGCCUGCAUCCGAAACUGCCCGACUAGAGGUAGGUAGGGGAGAUCGGAAUUCCUGGUGUAGCGGUGAAAUGCGCAGAUAUGCGGAGGAACACCGAUGGCGAAGGCAAUCCCCUGGGCCUGCACUGACGCUCAUGCACGAAAGCGUGGGGAGCAAACAGG
RNAcentral lists this ribosomal RNA (253 nucleotides) under uncultured bacterium. RNAcentral describes it as "partial 16S ribosomal RNA". It matches the Rfam family "Bacterial small subunit ribosomal RNA", at positions 524 to 776 of the family's 1533-position model. The record is from RNAcentral.